RNAcentral lists this ribosomal RNA (538 nucleotides) under fungal sp. RNAcentral's name for it is "eukaryotic LSU rRNA". The stretch from base 191 to 344 matches the Rfam family "5.8S ribosomal RNA". The record is from RNAcentral. Lineage: Eukaryota; Fungi.
GGGGUAACCUGCGGAGGGAUCAUUACACAAAUAUGAAGGCGGGCUGGAACCUCUCGGGGUUACAGCCUUGCUGAAUUAUUCACCCUUGUCUUUUGCGUACUUCUUGUUUCCUUGGUGGGUUCGCCCACCACUAGGACAAACAUAAACCUUUUGUAAUUGCAAUCAGCGUCAGUAACAAAUUAAUAAUUACAACUUUCAACAACGGAUCUCUUGGUUCUGGCAUCGAUGAAGAACGCAGCGAAAUGCGAUAAGUAGUGUGAAUUGCAGAAUUCAGUGAAUCAUCGAAUCUUUGAACGCACAUUGCGCCCUUUGGUAUUCCAAAGGGCAUGCCUGUUCGAGCGUCAUUUGUACCCUCAAGCUUUGCUUGGUGUUGGGCGUCUUGUCUCUAGCUUUGCUGGAGACUCGCCUUAAAGUAAUUGGCAGCCGGCCUACUGGUUUCGGAGCGCAGCACAAGUCGCACUCUCUAUCAGCAAAGGUCUAGCAUCCAUUAAGCCUUUUUUCAACUUUUGACCUCGGAUCAGGUAGGUCCCCGGUUCCC